AGCAGCCGCGGUAAUUCCAGCUCCAAUAGCGUAUAUUAAAGUUGUUGUAGUUAAAAAGACUCGUAGUUGAAUUUCGGGGUUCUACCGUUGGUCGGGUUAACCAGUCUGUACUAGCGUGUAGAAUUUCUACCUUCUGGGGAACCAUCAUGUUAUUAAUUUAGCGUGGUGGGAAACCAGGACCUUUACCUUGAAAAAAUUAGAGUGUUCAAAGCAGGCUUACGUCUGAAUACAUUAGCAUGGAAUAAUAAAAUAGGACGGUGGUCCUGUUUUGUUGGUUUCUGAAUCACCGUAAUGAUUAAUAGGGAUAGUUGGGGCAUUAGUAUUCAAUUGUCAGAGGUGAAAUUCUUGGAUUUAUUGAAGACUAAACUUCUGCGAAAGCAAUUUGCCAAGGAUGUUUUCACUAAUCAAGAACGAAAGUUAGGGAUCGAAGACGAUCAGAUACCGUCGUAGUCUUAACCAUAAACUAUGCCGACUAGGGAUCGGACGAUGUUAAAUUUAUUGACUCGUUCGGCGCCUUUAC
RNAcentral lists this ribosomal RNA (520 nucleotides) under uncultured Scutellospora. RNAcentral describes it as "SSU rRNA". It matches the Rfam family "Eukaryotic small subunit ribosomal RNA", at positions 569 to 1092 of the family's 1831-position model. Lineage: Eukaryota; Fungi; Glomeromycota; Glomeromycetes; Diversisporales; Gigasporaceae. The record is from RNAcentral.